UUCCGGGCUACAGCAGCCGACGCCGAGAGGCACCGUUUCUUCUUAAAAGAGAAACGCUGCGCGCGCGAGGUGGGCCCCGGUCUUCCAGCAGCUCCGGGCUUGCUCGCUAGGCCCGGGAGGCGCAGGCGCAGGCGCAGUGGGGGUGAGGGCGCGUGGGGGCGCACAGCCUCUGGUGCACAUGGCUUCCUCCCCGGCGGUGGACGUGACCUGCAGGCGGCGGGAGAAGCGGCGGCAGCUGGACGCGCGCCGCAGCAAGUGCCGCAUCCGCCUGGGCGGCCACAUGGAGCAGUGGUGCCUCCUCAAGGAGCGGCUGGGCUUCUCCCUGCACUCGCAGCUCGCCAAGUUCCUGUUGGACCGGUACACUUCUUCAGGCUGUGUCCUCUGUGCAGCCGAGAGUGCAGCCUGGUGCCCGGGCUUCGGGGGCCUGGCGGCCAAGAUGGGGGGCUUGUGUGGGAGUGCUC
This 461-nucleotide small RNA is filed under the name Pan troglodytes (chimpanzee). RNAcentral's name for it is "processed transcript". The record is from RNAcentral. Lineage: Eukaryota; Metazoa; Chordata; Mammalia; Primates; Hominidae.